ACGACUAGUGGCGGACGGGUGAGUAACGACGUGGGUAACCUGCCGUAUGCAGGGGGACAACAGUUGGAAACGACUGCUAAUACCGCAUAAGCGCACGGUAUCGCAUGGUACAGUGUGAAAAGAUUUAUCGGCAUACGAUGGACCCGCGUCUGAUUAGCUAGUUGGUGAGGUAACGGCCACCAAGGCGACGAUCAGUAGCCGACCUGAGAGGGUGACCGGCCACAUUGGGACUGAGACACGGCCCAAACUCCUACGGGAGACAGCAGUGGGGAAUAUUGCACAAUGGGCGAAAGCCUGAUGCAGCGACGCCCGCGUGAGCGAUGAAGUAUUUCGGUAUGUAAAGCUCUAUCAGCAGGGAAGAUAAUGACGGUACCUGACUAAGAAGCUCCGGCUAAAUACGUGCCAGCAGCAGC
Molecule: ribosomal RNA, 413 nt
Filed under: uncultured bacterium
Lineage: Bacteria
Description: bacterial SSU rRNA
Rfam family: Bacterial small subunit ribosomal RNA
Source: RNAcentral